UGGGGAAUUUUGGACAAUGGGCGAAAGCCUGAUCCAGCCAUGCCGCGUGAGUGAAGAAGGCCUUCGGGUUGUAAAGCUCUUUUAGUCGGAAAGAAAGAGUUGCAAUGAAUAAUUAUGAUUCAUGACGGUACCGACAGAAAAAGCACCGGCUAACUACGUGCCUGCAGCCGCGGGAAUACGUAGGGUGCGAGCGUUAAUCGGAAUUACUGGGCGUAAAGGGUGCGCAGGCGGUUUUGUAAGUCAGAUGUGAAAUCCCCGGGCUUAACCUGGGAAUUGCGUUUGAAACUGCAAGACUAGAGUGCAGCAGAGGGGAGUGGAAUUCCAUGUGUAGCAGUGAAAUGCGUAGAGAUGUGGAAGAACACCGAUGGCGAAGGCAGCUCCCUGGGUUGACACUGACGCUCAUGCACGAAAGCGUGGGGAGCAAACA
Molecule: ribosomal RNA, 427 nt
Filed under: uncultured beta proteobacterium
Lineage: Bacteria; Pseudomonadati; Pseudomonadota; Betaproteobacteria
Description: bacterial SSU rRNA
Rfam family: Bacterial small subunit ribosomal RNA
Source: RNAcentral